This 391-nucleotide ribosomal RNA is filed under the name uncultured bacterium. Its description in RNAcentral is "bacterial SSU rRNA". It matches the Rfam family "Bacterial small subunit ribosomal RNA", at positions 28 to 420 of the family's 1533-position model. The record is from RNAcentral.
GACGAACGCUGGCGGCGUGCUUAACACAUGCAAGUCGAGCGGUAAGGCCCUUUCGGGGGUACACGAGCGGCGAACGGGUGAGUAACACGUGGGUGACCUGCCCUCAGCUCUGGGAUAAGCCUGGGAAACCGGGUCUAAUACUCGAUAUGACUCCAUGACGCAUGUUGUGGGGUGGAAAGCCUUGUGCGGCUGAGGAUGGGCCCGCGGCCUAUCAGCUUGUCGGUGGGGUGAGGCCUACCAAGGCGACGACGGGUAGCCGGCCUGAGAGGGCGACCGGCCACACUGGGACUGAGACACGGCCCAGACUCCUACGGGAGGCAGCAGUGGGGGAAUCUUGCGCAAUGGGCGAAAGCCUGACGCAGCGACGCCGCGUGAGGGAUGACGGCCUCGG